UGGGCUGUAGCGCAGUGGGUUAAGCGCAUGUGGCUCAAAGCACAAGGACCUGCGUAAGGAUCCAGGUUCGAGCCCUGGCUGCCCAC
RNAcentral lists this transfer RNA (86 nucleotides) under Erinaceus europaeus (western European hedgehog). It matches the Rfam family "tRNA". Rfam says of the family: Transfer RNA (tRNA) molecules are approximately 80 nucleotides in length. Their secondary structure includes four short double-helical elements and three loops (D, anti-codon, and T loops). The record is from Rfam by way of RNAcentral. Lineage: Eukaryota; Metazoa; Chordata; Mammalia; Eulipotyphla; Erinaceidae.